GAUGAACGCUAGCGGCAGGCUUAAUACAUGCAAGUCAAGGGGGUAGCAAUACAACCGGCGCACGGGUGAGUAACGCGUACACAACAUACCAUAUACUGGAGUAUAGCUUUGGGAAACUGAAGGUAAUCCUCCAUAACAUUGCGAGAGGGCAUCUGAUUGCAAUUAAAGUUUCGGCGGUAUAUGAUUGGUGUGCGUUUGAUUAGCUAGUUGGUAGGGUAACGGCCUACCAAGGCGACGAUCAAUAGCUGGCGUGAGAGCACGACCAGCCACACUGGAACUGAGACACGGUCCAGACUCCUACGGGAGGCAGCAGUAGGGAAUAUUGGACAAUGGAGGAAACUCUGAUCCAGCCAUGCCGCGUGAUAGAUGAAGGCCCUCUGGGUUGUAAAUAUCUUUUAUCUGGGAAGAAACACUCCUAUUCUUAGGAACUUGACGGUACCAGAGGAAUAAGCACCGGCUAACUCCGUGCCAGCAGCCGCGGUAAAGUA
This 488-nucleotide ribosomal RNA is filed under the name uncultured bacterium. RNAcentral describes it as "bacterial SSU rRNA". It matches the Rfam family "Bacterial small subunit ribosomal RNA", at positions 28 to 527 of the family's 1533-position model. The record is from RNAcentral.